GCCGCCACGUUCCAGAGGAGGGCGGACGGGUGAGCGAGCCCAGAGUCGCGUACCUCCGGGCUCUGGCCGCUUCUUUCCUCUCAAGCCGACCUUCGCGCUUGCUUCCUGCCGCCCCGUCCCGACCCGGGGCUGGCGACAAUCCCGCGGUGGCUGGUGACGUUCGCUCCGGCUUGGCCGAGCACAGGAAGCCCGCGCCUACGGUCGUGCGACCCUUUUAUAACCCACUUGUGACUCAUAACCGACCGGGCGGCUUUUCUGUCACCCCCCCCCUUCCCCUCCUCCUGCCUCUUCUUGGAACCCACAGCUUGAAAAACUUUUUUUUUCUUUUUAAAGGAAAAGUCGAAAAAGUCCAGCGCCCCGAGGAGGGGUGUUUUCCCCUUUCCCUUUCUCGUGGGUCACUCGGUGUGUGUUUUCUCUUACACCCGCCAUGUACUUUCCUGACCCGCGCAGCAAGGCUGGGGCGCCAACCUUUGUUCGCAAUGAAAAGGAAACGCAUUCAAAUUACGGCCAGACGUUGCCGAGCUUUCAGUCGGCUGGAGGGGAAGUGCUGCUUCUUACAACUGGCUGGCUGGGGAGUCUACACCCUGCUUGUAGUUGAGAAAGAAAAGUGAAGCAAGUGGAAAGUUCUCCCUUCCUGCUCCUACUGAUUCAGCCAGAGGCAAGCGGUCCCUAACCGAGGAAGGAAUGUCUUCUAGGGACGGUCUGUGUGGCCACGCCCUUAUUUCCCUCAGAGAUUCCACAUGUAAGAGAAAACGUGAGACCCGUCUUUCCGAAUCUGGCUUAACAUAAUGAUCUUCACUUCCAUCCAUUUUACUGCAGAUGACAUGAUUUCAUUUUCCUUUAUGGCUGAAUAAUACUCUAUUGUAUAUCUUCUAAGAUUUCUUCUGGAAAAACUGACAUUUUUGGGUGUAAACUUCAUUUCUAAAGGAUUGCAGCUCACCUGAAAUAUAAGACCAAGUCAGAGAAAAACUUACCUUCACUCUGUUUUGAGGAUGUUCAGCUUUCGUUUUAGAAUCCAUCUUAUCUUCUUUCUAUGUUCAAGAAGGUCUUCAUUGUUUCUGCCCAAGGCUUCCUGCAC
This 1078-nucleotide long non-coding RNA is filed under the name Heterocephalus glaber (naked mole-rat). RNAcentral describes it as "lncRNA (ENSHGLG00100041684.1)". The record is from RNAcentral. Lineage: Eukaryota; Metazoa; Chordata; Mammalia; Rodentia; Bathyergidae.